GGGUUUUGGUCCCCCUACUGGGGGGUUUGAAUCCYUCCGUUCCCAGA
RNAcentral lists this transfer RNA (47 nucleotides) under Barbosella miersii. RNAcentral's name for it is "partial tRNA-Gln". Lineage: Eukaryota; Viridiplantae; Streptophyta; Magnoliopsida; Asparagales; Orchidaceae. The record is from RNAcentral.